This is a non-coding RNA of Meleagris gallopavo (turkey), 3978 nucleotides long. The record is from RefSeq and is a predicted model, not a curated record. Lineage: Eukaryota; Metazoa; Chordata; Aves; Galliformes; Phasianidae.
AAAAUUGAAUCAAAUUUAAAACAGCUAGUAGAUAUUCUUUUGGAUAGUAUUAUGCCAGCAAGAAGAAUAAAAAACAGCAGUGCCAGUGUUACCAUGUGUUACCAAUGUUAAAAACUUGAUCCCAAAAACAUCAAAAGAAGGAAUUUACUAUGCAUUAUUAUGUUAGUAUAAACCUUCCAUCUCUUUCCUUACUGGGACCAUUCUUCACAUGACAUUUUCUGGAAAACGUUGAGAAACCCAUGAUGACUGUAACAAAGUGAGUAUACAGUGCUGUAGACAGGGAAAAAAUAUCUUACAGCCCUCUUUAAUACUUUCUGUCCUGUCUGUGUAACCGCAGACAAUUCUGGUAGUCAUGCAAACACACCCUUAAGCCUGAGUGGCCUCAGGAAAUUGCUUAAUAGUGAUGAAUGAACAAAAGCAAUGCAGAAUAAAAUGAAAAAAAAACAAAAACAAAAAAAAACUGUCUGAUGCUGGAAUUGCACAUUACAGAAUUAAAUUUGAAGCAUGCUGUAAUUCCAAAUUUGAUCCACACAAGUAAAUCUCACACACUUGAGCCAACCCCUGGCUUCGUAUCUGAACUUUCCAAUUGUUCCACUUACACAAAACUGUCUUGGACAUUUUACGAAAACAGACUCACUUUCAAAAUUUCCAAUACUUCCUAUCUUCAAGGGUGCCAGAAUUACCACAAGAAUGUCUUUUUCCUGGCAUUUUGAAUAGGCCUCACUGAUAGGAUACACCAGAGGAAAACUUACACCAGGAACACUGCUUUAUUUAAGAUUAGAGUUUUUGUUAUACCAAGCCAACUCGGACAUCUCCUUAGUCUGAUAACCCACUGCCAGUGGCUUUUGCUGAGUAAAACCAAACCAAAAAGUCCUAAUGGUCUUUGACAAAUGUUCAAUUCUGAUAACACCCCAUUUCUGCACAAGCACAAUCCCUUGCUGCCAACCAGUGGAGUAAUCAAGAGAGAAUCAAGGCUCUCUGUACAUAAUCAGUAAUGCCCAUAUUUUAAUAGCAAAUUAACACUAUAAAACCAAAUCACAUGUAUAAGUUAACGCAGACAAUAAUGCAGGCAGCAGUGGAUGUUUCUCUUAGAAUUGUGUGUGAAAUUAAUUUAUUCACUGGAACCAACAAAAAUUGCCACAUUCAACUAGUUUGAUGGUAUUUUUUUAAAUCAAAGUAUAAAGAGGCAAUUAAAGGAAGAGAAAUCAGCUUUUAAUCUUUCUGGAGAGAUCCCUGAAGAAAUAUUUUAUGGCAAAAAAAAAUUGAAACAGUAGUAAAAACAGCAGUACUGGCUUAUAGAGGGGUUAGAUAAGCACAUCCACGCUAGAUUAAUGCACUUUCUGGAUGAAUGUUCAACUUUUCUAAGCCUUCCGACUUCCUUUGAAACCAAGACAAAAAAUAAAUUAAAAAAAAAAAAUCAUAGUUUAAUUUCUUCUUACUUUCCACUUCAAAUGGGUAAUGCAAGAAGCGAAGAACUGAUUCCAAGUCAUCCAAUGAGCAAAUUCAGGGACUCAAGUUACACUUAAUUAAAGGUGGGUCAUCUGUAAGCCAGUUUUGUAAAUGCUUUUUUGUUGUUUCUGUUUGUUUGUUUGUUUCACCCUGCCUGCACUCCAAUAAACCAUUCAUGCUGAAGACAGUCAAUGAUCUCCAAUUUUUAAAUCAGCCACUAUGAAUCAGAACAGAAACUAUCUUGCAGCAACAUAUCACCUUGGAGCAUUUGUUUCUCCACUUGGCUCUUGUAGUAAAAGCACAUCUAAUUCAUACAAACCCUAGACUAUUCCAGAAUGGACAAGAAAUGCAGUGGAGAAAAGACUACAUGUUAAAGACACCAAACCACCUGAGAAAGAUAUGUUAUUAUUCUAGUUGGCCAUUCAGUUGUCUCUGUUCAUGAACAGAUCAACUGCGUAUCUGAACAGAGGGACGAAAUAACGGCUUCUAUACAGUAGUACCACAAAAUUAAUUAGGUUUAUGUUCAAAACCAUAAUCCUUUCAUAUUCUUGGAAUCAUCUUCUAAACAAUACCUUAAACCCAAAUAAACUGAUUAAAUCCAAGCAAGCAAAAAUAAGAUCUUGGACUGAAAAAUCCCAGGCAUUCAUCCAAAGCAGCCAUCCCUCCCCUGACUCCAGUGUGUUUCGGAUCACAGCCCUCAGCCCUUCUGAUCUGUUUGUGCGCUGCCCAAGAUUCUAGAAUAGCCCCUUUGAAGUUGCUUUUCACAGUUCAGCAAGCACACAAUGUUGUGUCUAUUACAGGACUCAGCAAAGAGAUCUUUCUUCGCUGCUGGUCUGUCAAUGCUGAGGGAGGGUUCACUUCCAGCAGCUGCAGGCACUGAAGUUUUACACAUUUACAGGUUUCCAAAAAGAGCUGCAACUCGCUCAAGCAACAUGAAGAGUAUGUACAUGAUGAUACACAAUAUCUUUCAGUCCAAUGCUGAGCCCCAAACUGCUCUUAAGGCAGACGGAAUUUCAGCCCAACCAACACAAAGGCAUAUACUGUGGCUAGCUGACAGGCAGGAAGGGGUUUGGGUUUUACAGUUCCUGCGAGUCUUCCAGCAGUCACAGGGUAAUGUGACAGAAUGUAAACAUCUUUGAAGUGAAAAUAGUUUGGAAUAAAAUGGAUGUUUCAUUUUUUCCCCAAACCUGUCUUUGUUUCAGAUCAAUAAUCAUUACAAGUAGCAAUCUGAAGCUCAAACAUCUGAGCAUGGGAAUGCCCAGGAUCGUUAUGUAGCAUCUUCUGAUUUAGCUGUCAGGUUUUGUUUAGCAUUCUGCACCCAUCCUCCAGUUUAGCUUGCCUGAAAAUUUUAAAUGCAAAUUUAUUUGCAAGGUGGCAUAAAAGAAUAUCAGAAUUUUACCUUACACCACAGCUUCUAACUCAGCUCCCUCUUCCUCACUCCCAUAUACACACAUUUCACAGCCACUAAAAUAAAUAUUUGAAUAGAAAAAUCUUUACCUAUUAUAUUUUUCCCUACUAAAAGAUUUCAUUGGCCUUUCUGCUGAAACAGACCUAAAUCACAGUUUAAGCAACACUUUAAUAUCACCAACAGCUUGAAACAUACAAUUUUUGAACAGGCAACCGAUGUCUAUAAUAGUAAUACUUAAUUCAAAUAAUCCAUAAGCCUCAUAGUAUUUUCCAUCUUCUUAGGGCUAGAUAUACGUGAGCUAAUUAAUCACUUUAAUCACUAUUUUCUCCACACCUCAAAUUCACCAUUCUUGUUCCAAGAAACCAUGGGGAAAGCAAAUGGUACCAGGAGGACAUACUUCUGGACAAGCACUGGUCAUUUUCCUCUGUUCUUUUUGUUCAGUGUAAGUGAGUCCUGGACCAUAGACGUAGGCAGCAAAUUACCAGGUCUCAUAAUUCAACAGUUCCUUCAGACACUUUGAUCAUAGCUACAGGAAAAGCAAACUGUCCAUUGACCUGACUAUGAAGACAUUUUUCUAGCAGCAGUGCUAAAGAACUUUAAACACCAUUAGAUGUUCAGAAAUAGAUCUAACCAUUCUCUUGGUGUGAGGAUGCUCCUUCCCAUCUACAGAACCAAUCUAGGCACAAGUUGAACACAGCUCAGCCAUUCUACACUGUGUUAUACAAGAUCAGAAUAUGCUUCAGAAAUUAUAAUAACACUAUUUACAGCAAAAAAAAAAAAGCCUUCAUCUUCCCCUUGGAGAACAAUUUUUCCUUUGCUUUUGUGGUUUAUUAUCAAACAUACAUGCAAGAAUGAUGCUUUAAAGGACAACAAAGAAGUAGGCCUGCAUGUCAGCUGGCACAAAUUAUCAGAGCAUUCAAUGCUGAGCCAAUAUAACUUGUUUCAGCUAAUAUCCACUAUAAUAUUGAACUCUACUGAUGAAACAGGAAAAGCUAUUUUUAGUCAUUAUCUAUUGUUUUUCAUAAGAGAUUAAUUGCCACUUAGAGUUCUCUUACGGAUCUUGCAUUUUAUCAUAUGUGUUUAUGGAGUUGUUCAUUAAUCCUGGAGGUUUUUAUAUUAAU